GCCCCGUUCUUCUAACGGACAGGAUACUGGCCUUUCACGCCGGAGACGCAGGGUUCAAUUCCCACACGGGGUA
Non-coding RNA from Gimesia maris DSM 8797, 73 nucleotides. The record is from Rfam. NCBI's taxonomy places the organism in Bacteria, Pseudomonadati, Planctomycetota, Planctomycetia, Planctomycetales, Planctomycetaceae.